This 498-nucleotide ribosomal RNA is filed under the name uncultured bacterium. RNAcentral's name for it is "partial 16S ribosomal RNA". It matches the Rfam family "Bacterial small subunit ribosomal RNA", at positions 30 to 523 of the family's 1533-position model. The record is from RNAcentral.
AUUGAACGCUGGCGGCAUGCCUUACACAUGCAAGUCGAACGGUAACAGGUCUUCGGAUGCUGACGAGUGGCGAACGGGUGAGUAAUACAUCGGAACGUGCCCGAUCGUGGGGGAUAACGAAGCGAAAGCUUUGCUAAUACCGCAUAAGAUCUACGGAUGAAAGCAGGGGACCGCAAGGCCUUGCGCGAACGGAGCGGCCGAUGGCAGAUUAGGUAGUUGGUGGGAUAAAAGCUUACCAAGCCGACGAUCUGUAGCUGGUCUGAGAGGACGACCAGCCACACUGGGACUGAGACACGGCCCAGACUCCUACGGGAGGCAGCAGUGGGGAAUUUUGGACAAUGGGCGAAAGCCUGAUCCAGCCAUGCCGCGUGCAGGAUGAAGGCCUUCGGGUUGUAAACUGCUUUUGUACGGAACGAAAAGACUCUGGUUAAUACCUGGGGUCCAUGACGGUACCGUAAGAAUAAGCACCGGCUAACUACGUGCCAGCCGCCGCCGUAA